Molecule: long non-coding RNA, 433 nt
Filed under: Nicotiana benthamiana
Lineage: Eukaryota; Viridiplantae; Streptophyta; Magnoliopsida; Solanales; Solanaceae
Description: long non-coding RNA (NBEN_LNC021923)
Source: RNAcentral
UAGUAAUCCUCCAUCAAUAUCACCCGCUAUCCUGACUGGAAUUAUUUCUUUCUUUUUCAUCUCGGAUUUGCUUGACAUAUUGUCCACUGUAACCACUGCUUCACCUUGUGGCUGGUUUAUAAUGGUACUCCCUGACAUCCUGCUCGCGCCAACUGGAAGGUAGCUGCUUGAAGAUAAUAGUGUAUGCCGUAUCUUACACAUAAAUGCCUGGCACAUAAGGCAUUCAACUUCUGUUGCUAGCACAGUUUUCGUUGAUUGACACCAACAGGAAGGUAGCUGCUUGAAGAUAAUAGUGUAUGCCGUAUCUUACACAUAAAUGCCUGGCACAUAAGGCAUUCAACUUCUGUUGCUAGCACAGUUUUCGUUGAUUGACCAAAGCUGUCUGCUUUUAGUAAUGCUCCAUUGGCUUUUUCGGUUUUAUUGUGGAUAGAUU